Non-coding RNA from Rattus norvegicus (Norway rat), 1167 nucleotides. The record is from RefSeq and is a predicted model, not a curated record. Lineage: Eukaryota; Metazoa; Chordata; Mammalia; Rodentia; Muridae.
CUUCCGCCCGCCGCAGGGCCGGGGCUCUAGUUUCAUUUCGCUACGGUGGUUUCAGUUUCAAGCUGGGAAGAGAGAUGGACUGAGCUGGGACGACAGAGGGGGAAAGGACAGGAUGGAAGGUGCUCAAGACUGCACCCAGCAGCCGGGAGCUCUAGGGUGAUUAGGACUAUGAGAAAGACCCGGCUUCAAAAACCAAAGAAAAAAAGAAAAAAAAAAGAUUGCAUCCCGCCCCGAGGGACAACUCAGCACCUGCGUCCGGACCUGUAUCGGGUGUUUGCCUGAGCCCGCCCACCUCUCUCCACCCCCACCUCUCCGCACCCCACCUCGCCCCACCCCCCCAUAUCCUUUCCUGCAGGUGGGACCCGGCCUGGCCUGCCUACCUGGUCCGGGAGCCAUGGGGACAGACACACCCCUGCGUAAGCCUGGCUGGCAGCCAGGACACCAAACCCACGUACCUGGGAGCCUCAGCGCCCCCAUGGGGCCUGAUCGAGCUUGGACAGGUUCUGGGUCAGGUGACUGGUCAGACACCACUGGGAGGUCAGCCCAGGUGCGGGUGGCGACCGGGGGGGGGGGGGGGGGGGAGAAUGGGAGGAAGGAGGAAUCGGGGCUUGCGGAGUGUAAGUGUGAGCGGCCAGGCUGCCUACCUAGGCUUUUCCAAAGGGCUCUGGAGAGUGAGGACAGCUCACUAUUUACUCUAUAAACACCCGGGACUCGUUCAACGCAUAUUCACACGUUCCCAGGUGGUGCAAUGAUUCCAGAACAUUCUGUCACCAUCAAAGGAAGCCCUGAUCCCACACCACCACCCCAGCAAACACAGGCAUGGAGGCCUAAGUUCGAACCUCCCUGUGGCACCCAUAAAAUACCUGAGAGAUGACAGCCCCUGUACUCUUAACCCCAGCACUGGGGAAUCAGACUCAGUCUGGCCAAACCAGUGAGUAUCAAAAAUAAAAAAGACGCUUGAGGGGCUGGAGAGAUGGCUCAGCGGCUAAGAGCACUGACUGCUCUUCCAGAGGUCCUGAGUUCAAAUCCCAGCAACCACACGGUGGCUCACAACCAUCUAUGAUGAGGUCUGAUGCCCUCUUCUGGUGUGUCUGAAGACAGCUACAGUGUAUUUAUAUAUAUUAAAUAAAUAAAUCUUAAAAAAAGAAAAAAGACGCUGGAGAAAUG